RNAcentral lists this long non-coding RNA (4242 nucleotides) under Coffea arabica (coffee). RNAcentral describes it as "long non-coding RNA (CARA_LNC005674)". Lineage: Eukaryota; Viridiplantae; Streptophyta; Magnoliopsida; Gentianales; Rubiaceae. The record is from RNAcentral.
UAAACUUUUUCAGUCUACAUUACUUCAAAUGGUCCAUGAAUAAAGAUAUAGAUGAGAAAACUAAGAUAAUGCUAAAGAUAUUUUUACAAGCAAUCCAUUCAAUACAAAGCAAAAUUCACUGGAAAAAGAUGAUCACACACCUGAAACAAGAGAUGCUUACUUUGCUUUUUGCUGACAUUUCCAACAUUUGAGCAUCAAAACCCACAAAAAAAAAAAACAAAUAUUGUUAAAAGAUGAUUCUGAAAAAGAAUGGCAAACUGAGAGGAAAAAAGCAAAUACUUACCAAAAAGACUUAUCAUAGAGAUAAGCCUUCCUUUUCCUUUUUGCAGGGAAGCUAGGAAGCCAUAGAAAGAGGUAGGAUAGGGGAAGGAGGAGACAACUACUUUCUCAUUCUUAUUUAAAACAAAAAAAAAAAGAAAGAAAAUAAACAUACAAAAGCUGCCAUCAAGUCCCAUCAUUUUUCUCUAGUCUAAUAAAAUCAUUCUUUUGUAAAUGAAUCAAGUGGUAGAGAAAUUUGCAAGUAUAAUUGUCCGCUUGGCACUGACACACAACUAUAAUCUAAUUUGAAGGUUAAGAUGUAUUCACAGGCAAAUGAUCAAGCAGAAAGCAAGCAACUUUUGCAAAAAUUAAUGGGUGACCUUAAAACAGAGAUACUUGAACUACGUUUCCUUUUCAGUUGAUUCUCCAACCCUAUAAAGCCAUGUAGACAAACAAGAAAUAGCUAUCUUUGUUAGAGAAUGGUUCUGCAUAAGGAAAAGGAAUAGAAAAAGUAAAAAAUUUGAAAACUAAAUUCUUAACAAAGUAGCUGAAAAUAGAGAGAAAGCCUCUACUUGUGUUUUGUUUUUCUAGAGAAACCAGACAACAGGGUGGGAGGAAUCUAUAUGUUUCCUCCCUGGAUCUCUUAUCCUUAAAAUUAUUCAUUAAGGGGAAAAAUUCAUUAAGAAAUGAUGAUCAACUCCAAUCUUCAUCCCCAAAUCACAUUCGCAAUAAUUAAUAAAUAAAAUAGCAAGCAAGAAUUUCACAUACGUUCCAAGUUUAAACCCAACCCAAAAUCACUUAGUUGGCAGAAAACAAAAUAAUAACUAGAAAAAAUGGCCUUAUUGACAUCUGGAUGCCUUAGAACACUGGAGACCACCACUGAAAGUUGCAGUUAAUACUAAGAAACAUCACCAAUAGUUUAUCAUAAAAAGUAGAGAAAACUAUAGACACCUGAGGCUAAGAAAUUAAAAUUUUGAAUCUCCUCUAAUACAUAAUACCAAAGUUCUAGCACAUUAAUGAUCCAGAGCAAGAAAAACUAACCUCCAGGGAAAUUCCUUUCUUAAAGCUUUUCUCCUUCGGUAAGAAGCUCUGUAUCUAUGUUUCUCCUCUUUUGUUUGGUCAUAUGUGAACCUCUAUUUUACAGAUAUACUGGACAAAAUGAAAAAAAGAAAAGAUGGUAAGAAUUUCUCAACAAACAGGAGGAAAGGAAGAGUGAAAGAACUGCUCAUCAAAUCAAAUCCUGCAAACCAAAAUUUUCAAUGAUGGGUUUUCUGCAAAAAUCUGAUGGUUACAACUCCAAUAAGUCAAACGGCCAAACAUUUUUUUGGGUAAAAAAAUCCCUGAGUUUUGGGUAAUACCUAAUCUCUGUACAAUUAUGUGGGUUUCAUCCCCGCAAGUACAAUCACUAAGGCCCUAUUUGGUUCUAGGAAACCAGUGAGGAAAGUAAAGUGAGCAAAUGGAAGGUAAAUUCCUUGUGAAAACCUAAUCCUUUCUCUUGUUUGGGAAACAAAAUAAAGUAGUAGGGAAAUGGCAAAAAAUUGCACAGAAAUUCUUUUCUUUGAAUCAUGGAUUUUGUGAAAGAAAUGGGAUUGGAAAACAUGAAAAGAAAAGAAAAUUCAUCUUAAAUCAAUCAUAAUCAAUUUUGUUGAACCUGCACUUGGAUGAACGAUGAUUCUCACUCUUAAACUUGCCUAACAAUUGUAUCGUACUUUAAUUUACUUUAAGUAAAGUGGACAACCAUGGUUAAGUUCUAAAUGGUGGACAACAUUGAGAAUUCAUUUGAUUCUAUAAACAAUUCUAUUGUGACUAAGCUAGUAAGAGAAUUGUAUUGUUACAAAACUAAGUUCAAAAGCAAGCUUGAAUCCCCAAAACUCCAUAAAAUUGAAACGAGUAAUGUAUUCAUAAAACUGAAAAACAACCAAUAUUUUAAUCCAAAGAAUUCAAAAGAAAUAAAAAAAAUUGUAAAAUUCACCUAAAAAAAUCGCUCUCUUUAUUCCCAAAAAAAGGCCUAAUAAUCUAAAAUUACAUCAAAAUCCACUACCUCAUAUAUUUAUGGUAAAAUAUCAACCGAAUAAUGGUCUAUUUGCUUUUUGGAGAAACAAAAGAAUGAAAAGUAAACUUUGUAGUUGCAACUACUGCAUAUAAGGCAGUUUAUAUGAAGUAUUUCAAAGUUAAAAGGUUGAAAAAAGAUAAAGGGUACAACUUUUCUAUGCAUAAUAGUAAUGCUUUUCAUUACUGAGUCAUUUGCUAUUGCAGAUCUAUAACCAUAUCCUAGUCUGAAGCAGCAACGCCACAAAAGACAUUUUAUUAAUACAUUGGCUGCUCAAUUAUGCCUCUAACAUUUAAACAGAUACAUUUUGUCAUUAUGGCAUAGGAGUACACUUCAGAGCCUCUAUCUGCGACUAGUAUAUCUUCUUAGCACAUUCGAUUAUCUUAGGACAGAAGAUUCUACUAAGGGAAAAGAACCAUGUCUUCCAUUAUGAUUCUGUCACAUACCUAUCUUCUUGGAACAUUGCUUCACUUUCAAUUUUUUGCACAUGCUCUAGAAACUCAUCAUUGGCAUUUGAUCAACAAUAGCAUGUACAACCACAUUUUAACAAAGAAAUCUCAUUUUGCAGUAACAUUGCUGAAUUUUUGUUGAAACUCAAAUACCUUACACUAGCCAUGUCGAAAUUACAUAAAAUGAGAUUGAGUCAAGGCAAAUUCAGGAGUCCACUGGACAGAAUUCAACCAUGAAUAUCUUAUAGAAAUCCAACCUGCAAUACCCUUAUAAACAAUAAAUAAUUGUCAGUUUGGUUAUUUAACAUCACAAAUAUCUUAACUUUAUUGAUGUCAUGAGUUAGUUAGAGGUUUCACGAAUUUCACAUACCAUUCCUUGUAGAUUACACAAUAUGAUGACAUGUCACAUAUGGUUGGUUCCUAUUUCUGGGCUAAACUGAUGAAGUUCAGUUCUUUUCUGUAUCUUAGUGAUAAUGACAAAUAUUUUCCUAAGGUCAAACUGCUAAUUUAAUAAUAUUCUAAAAGGAUUCUGAUCAUCCUGGUUUUACUUCUGAUGGCCAUGUAUUAUUAAGAAUCUCUAACUUGCCUGCAAGGUUGUGAUUCAGAAAAUUCAAAGAAUAUAUCAAUUAAAUGUUGGUAAGAUCAAGAUUAGCUGUGACUUUAGUGCUUAUUUGUAGGUAACUUAAGUUAGUUUGAACAGAUACAGAACAAGUUAAAAUUCAUCUCUUGAUACAACCAAUGCAUGUAUCAUUUAAUAGACAUAAAAAUUUAUGCAGACUCAUAGACAAAUUCCUAAUGCCAUGAAUCAGGAAUACUAUACAUGCCAACCUACAUUACGGGUAUUGCCACGGAAAUCAUCAUCGUCGAACGGUUUGAGGGAUUGAAUAGUUUGGAAUGGUACUAACAUAGUCUACUCACAACACCAAUGCGAAAAAAUAAAAAUCAGUUAACCUUAAUACAAAUAUAUAAUAGGUACAAAAUCUCCUGAAUGAACAGAAAAACCAGUUUCUAUGUGAAUCAAAACAGAAGAAAAGCAACAGAAUUAAAAGAAAAAAGGGCUCAAAGUCUCCAAGGGGCAAACCUAUGGCAAAAUAGAGAAAUUCGAGGUGAUUUUGCACUUUCCCAGAGCCUUUCAUCACCCUUGCUCUAAAAUUGGCAACGACGACUGCCGGAAGCCAUGUCGGAGAAGAUUUAAUUUGACCCGAUUUCUCUUAUAGCCCAGUUUGGAUCUACAUUUUGUCCGGUCCUUUGAUAUUUUUACCCAAAUAAAGUCUGUUACGUUGAUCCGGUUUUCAGUGAUUUCUUCCAUUUCCUCAUAUUUUAGUAAGGAAAUGUGUUGUAAUUGAGUGAAGAUGAACAACAAUUUCCCCGCUACUUUCCCGAAAUUGCUUUCCUUUGUGGUUCCUUUUGAAGAACCAAACAGGGCCUAAGUAAAGCAAGAAUUCUAUAGUCGAAAUGGGAAGCAAAUUUCUCGGAUUGUCAGCC